This 73-nucleotide transfer RNA is filed under the name Candidatus Omnitrophota bacterium. RNAcentral describes it as "tRNA-Lys". It matches the Rfam family "tRNA". Rfam says of the family: Transfer RNA (tRNA) molecules are approximately 80 nucleotides in length. Their secondary structure includes four short double-helical elements and three loops (D, anti-codon, and T loops). Further hydrogen bonds mediate the characteristic L-shaped molecular structure. tRNAs have two regions of fundamental functional importance: the anti-codon, which is responsible for specific mRNA codon recognition, and the 3' end, to which the tRNAs corresponding amino acid is attached (by aminoacyl-tRNA synthetases). tRNAs cope with the degeneracy of the genetic code in two manners: having more than one tRNA (with a specific anti-codon) for a particular amino acid; and 'wobble' base-pairing, i.e. permitting non-standard base-pairing at the 3rd anti-codon position. Lineage: Bacteria; Pseudomonadati; Candidatus Omnitrophota. The record is from RNAcentral.
GGGCCGCUAGCUCAUCUGGUAGAGCACCACCCUUUUAAGGUGGCCGUGGUAGGUUCGAGUCCUACGCGGCUCA